Molecule: ribosomal RNA, 774 nt
Filed under: uncultured Neocallimastigales
Lineage: Eukaryota; Fungi; Neocallimastigomycota; Neocallimastigomycetes; Neocallimastigales
Description: partial large subunit ribosomal RNA
Rfam family: Eukaryotic large subunit ribosomal RNA
Source: RNAcentral
GAGACUCUGUGCGCGUGCAUAUCAAUAAGCGGAGGAAAAGUAACUAACAAGGAUUCCCUUAGUAACGGCGAGUGAAGCGGGAAGAGCUCAAAUUUGAAAUCUUCAAGGUUCUACCUUGACGAAUUGUAGUUUAUAGAAGUGUUUUCUGUUAGUAGAGUGGCAAAAGUUCUUUGGAAUAGGACAUCAUAGAGGGUGAGAAUCCCGUAUUUGGUCAUUCUUUCUAGCUUUGUGAUACACUUUCAACGAGUCGGAUUGUUUGGGAAUGCAGUCCAAAAUGGGUGGUAAAUUUCAUCUAAAGCUAAAUAUUGGCGAGAGACCGAUAGCGAACAAGUACCGUGAGGGAAAGAUGAAAAGAACUUUGAAAAGAGAGUUAAACAGUACGUGAAAUUGUCAAAAGGGAAGCGUUUGACACCAGUGUUGUUUUUCCGAAAAUCAAUUACGAAUGUUUUAUUUUUGAGAAGUUAUGACUUCAUCGGCUUGCUUCUCUCUUUAUGAAACUUUCUUAAUGCACUUUUCGGUUAACAAGUCAACAUCAAUUUCUUUUGUUGUAAAAGGGUAUGAGGAAGGUGGCUUUCUUUUCGGAGAAAGUGUUUAUAGCCUUGUACCUCUGCAAUCGGAGAGAUUGAGGUCUGCAGCGUAGAUCCUUCGGGGUUAGAUACAUUUGUGCUAAGUUAUAGCUUUUAAUAGACAACUUGUUGACUACGUUUAGUCUUGUAGCUUACUCGCUUAUGCUAUUUUACCUACGCUUAGGAUGUUGACAGCAGUAUAGACUGU